This is a non-coding RNA of Podarcis lilfordi (Lilford's wall lizard), 1321 nucleotides long. The record is from the annotation of a GenBank genome assembly. Lineage: Eukaryota; Metazoa; Chordata; Lepidosauria; Squamata; Lacertidae.
AUUCAACUUGUUUUUAUUAUUGCUUGUUAGCCGCCCUGAGCCCGGCCUUGGCUGGGGAGGGCGGGGUAUAAAUUAAAAUUAUCAUUAUGGAAGCGAAAGCUCUGAAAAAGCUCAAUAUGGAGGUCAAAUGGCCAAAAUAUUGGGAAAUUUUGGAACAAGAUGGAGAUAGAUUGAAACUGCAGAGUUUUGAAAAACUAAAAAACAAAGUGCGAGACUGGCUUCAUUAUUAUCAGAUAAUGGAGGCAUACAAUUUGGACAAGAAAAUUGGCUUCCAGUUGGAAAAAUCAAAAUUAGAAACAGAAUUGUUAGAACCCAAAACUAAGAUUUUGUCAAAGAUGUAUAACUUGUUGUUGAAAUGGAAUACUCAGGACGAAACGGUGAAAUCUGCUAUGAUUAAAUGGGCACAAGACGUUGGACAUAAUAUAAUAAUGGCUGACUGGGAACAGUUGUGGACCACAGGUAUGAAGUUCAUGGCAUGUAAUGCCCUAAGAGAGAAUAUUAUGAAAAUGAUAUACAGGUGGUACAUAACCCCAGUCAAGCUUGCAAAAAUCUACCAUUUGCCCGAUAACAAAUGUUGGAAAUGUAAAGAAACUGAAGGUACAUUCUUUCACCUUUGGUGGACGUGCCCAAGGAUUAAGGUUUUCUGGGAGAUGAUUUAUAAUGAAUUAAAAAAGGUAUUUAAAUAUACCUUCUUGAAGAAACCAGAGGCCUUUCUCCUGGGCAUAGUCGGCCAAUCAGUGUUAAAGAAGGACAGAACUUUCUUUAUGUAUGCUACAACAGCAGCAAGAAUACUUAUUGCAAAGCAUUGGAAGACACAAGAUCUACCCACACUGGAGGAAUGGCAGAUGAAAAUGAUGGACUACAUGGAAUUGGCGGAAAUGACUGGCAGAAUCCGAGACCAGGGAGAAGAGUCGGUGGAAGAAGAUUGGAAGAAAUUUAAAGACUACUUACAGAAAUAUUGUAAAAUUAAUGAAUGUUAGAAUGAUGACGGAUUGAAGUUAAGCGGUUUCUAGCGGUAAUGGUAUUAAAAAUAUGGAAAAAUUGGUUUUUAAUAUGUAAAAAUUUAAUGUUAUAAUUUAUCAAGAUUAAAUAUUAGGAUUAAAAAGGAGGGAAAGGAAUUGCUGGAUUAGCAUACUGAAUUGGAAUACAAAAGAGGGAGGUAUGAGGAGGUCCAGGAAACAAGUAAAUGUAAAAGAAGUGAUGAAAAGAUGGAAUUGUUUUUAACUGUUUUUUCUUUUUUGUAUUUUGUAAUUUUCCUUUUUAUUGUUAAUUUUCUUAUUAAUGUGAUUUUUCUUCUUUUGAAAUUUUAAUAAAUAUUAUU